AAGGCUGAUUUAAGCCAUUAUGCUACAAGAAGUAGUUUCGUGGAACAGACUCACGAAUAUAGGUGACGUCACACGAACUAUCACGUUGCCAAAUCGAAACAGGACUCUUCCUGGCAACACACUUGUCACAACUGAUGCAGUGCCGACGCACAUCAGUUUUCAUACCAAUCCAGAAGUAAGACUGUUCAAGCUUGGCAAAAGUCUUGGAAACCCCAAGAUGGCCUCCCAAAGGUCAGCUGAGGUCAGACGGUCGAAAACUGAUUGAAGCGAGAACAUUGUUUCUUCGAAAGUAGUUCCGAAGACAAUGAUGUCAUCCAGGAAACACAGACACUCAUUCCACUGGAGACCUCUAAGCACCAUUUCCAUAAGUCUCUCGAACACACUUGGGGCGUUACAUAGGCCGAAGGGCAUGACAUUCCACUCAAACAGUCCGUAACGUGUGACAAAGGCUGUUUUCUCUCGAUCACGAGGAUCCAUUUCUACCUGCCAGUAUCCUGCUUGCAAUCCAUUGUGCAGAACAUUUUGGCACCACCCAGACUGUCAAUACAGUCUGCAAUGCGAGGUAGGGGGUAGGAAUCUUUCCGAGAAACCUCAUUUACGAGCCUAAAAUCACAACAAUAUCUCCAACGGCCAUCCUUGCGUUGCACAAGAACUGUCGGGGAAGCCCAAGGACUAUUCGAGGGACUGAUUACACCUUGCUCUAACAUUCGAGCCACUUCUUUCUCCUCCGCCUCUUGCCUCGCCAGCGUCUGACGACGUGGAGCCUGUUUGAUAGGUCUCGCAUCACCAGUAUUGAUGCGGUGUUUAACAAGGUUAGUUCGACCAAGAUCAUCAUCAUCUUUUGCGAAUGUAUCUCUGUAUGAGUACAGGAGAUCUCUCAGCUCAUCCUGCUGCUCAGAGCUGAGGUUUGUUUUACUGCGAUCAAAUAAAUCUGUUAAAUGAUCAGGCACCUUCGAGUUUUUAACAUUUACUCGUGAUACUUUCUUUAUUUGCCUAUCUGGUACUACAUUGACACACUGACACUGACCAAUAAUUCUUCCCUUAGCUAACGUGUAUUUGGUAUGAAGAACAUUGAUAACCUUAACUGUAGCUGCCUUAUUACUAUUUGUGACUACUGAAUUUCCCAUGAUUAUACCAUGUGUGAAUAAAAUCUCCUUGCAGGGUUCUAUCAGAAUCGAGGACCGUUCCCGAUAAAGUUGAGGCAAGCUCACUUGGAUAAAAGAUACAGACUGGGGGGGCAAAGAGACAUCAUCUGCAACGAUGACAGUUGUUUCAGCUCUCACAGUUGGUAACCACCUGCCCAUCAACCAGAUCCUUGACCCAGGGAUGUCGAUCAGACCCUCCAGUCUAUCCAGUACAUCUAUACCCAGAAUGCCAUCACAAUCAUGGGAAUUAUCAACCUCUGCAACCAGGAAUUCCUCCACAGUGGGGUUCAUGUAAUCACUAAUGUGAACAGGUGCUUUGAAUAUUCCAUGUGCUUGGAAUAAGCUCCCAUUAACAGCCUCCAGAACCAUGUCAAUUGAGUUGACAGCUACUGAAGAUGGCAAGCGCUUGCUUGCGGCUGGGGAAAGUAAGGUCACCUGACUACCUGUGUCAACAAGCAAAGUGAAGUAAAUGUUGCCAACCUUAACAGUUGCAGUUAUUGACAGUAUCCACAAUUGUAUGUCACCGCGGUACCAACAGCUGCAAUUAUUGACAGUAUCCACAAUUGUAUGUCACCACAGUACCAACAGUUGCAAUGAUUGACAGUAUCCAUUUUUGUACGUCACCGCGGUACCAUCAGUUGCAAUUAUUGACAGUAUCCACAUGUAUAUGUCACCAUUGUACCAACAGUUGCAGUUAUUGACAGUGUCCAUUUUUGUAUGUCACCGCAACCAACAAUUGCAAUUAUUGACAGUAACCACAUUUGUAUGUCACUGCGGUACCAACAGCUGCAGGUAUUGACAGUAUCCACAAUUGUAUGUCACCGCGGUACCAACAGCUGCAAUUAUUGACAGUAUACACAUUUGUAUGUCACCGCGGUACCAACAGUUGCAAUUAUUAACAGUAUCCACAAGUGUACACUACACAACAGCUGUACAUACUGUACCUAUGCCACGGAAAUGCUACAUUUGUGCAUACUGUACUUUUGUCACGGCUUCGCUACAGUUGUACCUGUUGUAUCUAUGUCACGUCUACACUACAGUUGUACAUGCUGUGUAUACGUCAAGGC
Molecule: long non-coding RNA, 2212 nt
Filed under: Haliotis rufescens (red abalone)
Lineage: Eukaryota; Metazoa; Mollusca; Gastropoda; Lepetellida; Haliotidae
Description: uncharacterized LOC125372403
Source: RNAcentral